Small nucleolar RNA from Camelus dromedarius (Arabian camel), 139 nucleotides. Ensembl annotates it as small nucleolar RNA, C/D box 10. Its record names the gene SNORD10. NCBI's taxonomy places the organism in Eukaryota, Metazoa, Chordata, Mammalia, Artiodactyla, Camelidae. The record is from Ensembl.
GCUCUGUGAUGAACCCCAUGCGUGUCAGCUGAGCCUGGCUCCCCUGUCAUCUCAGCCCAGGCAGUGUUCUACUUCCCAGGGCUAUUUGGCCUGGCAAGGGGGCUCCCAGGCAAAGGAUCAGUCUUUAUAUUCUGAGAGC